Molecule: long non-coding RNA, 2105 nt
Organism: Solenopsis invicta (red fire ant)
Lineage: Eukaryota; Metazoa; Arthropoda; Insecta; Hymenoptera; Formicidae
Exons: 2
Source: RefSeq, a predicted model, not a curated record
CUAACCUGUCCCUGUCCAAAAGAGGAUAUAAUGCAGAGGUGUAGGAUACCUAUAAUGACAAUAUAAUGUCGAAAGGUUUCUGUCAUCACAGACUGUUUACAGUGCGAAAAGAGAUAGCGUAGUGUCAAAGUGCAAUGUAUAUUGCCAACACAUUACGUCCUUAUUCAACAGCAGAAACCCAACAGGUCGGACAAAAAAUGUUUCGCAUAAACUCAUCCGCCUACAAAACGGCCCGAGCGUGCCUGUCGAAAUAUACGGUACUGAGUUGGGCAGUUUCGUUUGUUGAAAAGACAAGGAUGAGUGCAGAACUCAAAUGAUAAUGGAUCUAAAAAUAUCGAUAUUAUCGACAUUUUUAGUUCCACUUAGUAGAUGGCGCAGGACCGUCGGAGUUCGGCCGUCACUCCAGCAUCGCCUUAAAUGCUAUACUAGCACAAAUAUCUGUAUAUAAUAGAUCAUAUCUAAAUAUCUUUAUUUGAGUACUUUAAACAUUAUAUUGAUUGGAAAAAAAAAUGUACUUAUGAGAUCGAACGAGUUAUGUGCAAGACCAUUGAUAAAUGUAUACAGCAAUAUUUUAUUUCUUGUAAUUAAAAAGACACAUUGAAUAAAAUAAAUGCAGCAUUAUGUUUCUUAUUUAUAUUUUAGUGAUGAUAAUAAAAUGGUAUUUUGCAGAUUAUAAGUUAUUUUUUGAAAAUCAAGUGUAGAGUCCCUAAAAUUGAACUCUGAAUAAAAGUAAAUACAGUGCUUUGACAGUACAAUAUAUAAAAUAUUAUACUAGCAUAAGUACCUGCAUCUAAUAGUUUAUAUUGGUCUAAAUAUCUUUAUUUGAGUAUUUUAAACAUUAUGUCGAUUUGAAAAAAAAUCUGAAAAAUACUUAUUCAGAUUUCUUUUAAAUUAUUUUCUCAGUAUUUCUAAAAAGAAUUUUAUUCGUAUAAAGCAUUUUCUAAAAAAAUUAUAAAAAUUGUAUAAAAGUUUUAUAUAGAAAUUAUAAAAAAGUAUAUGAAGAAUAUUGACACAAAGUUUUAUUUGUAAAAUUGUAAAUAAACUUUGUUUAGUUUCCUAAUUCUGAAGAUAAACCUUCUGAUAAGAUGUAAUUUAUACAAAUCAAAAUUAUUAUUUUUAGCUAAUUACUGAUUUAAUUAGAAUUACUACUUACAAUUAGUCUAACUAAAUUCCUCAAAAUCACUUUCAAGUCUGAAAGUCUGUGCAGUCCAUUUCUAACGCUGAAAAGUAUCUCAAAGUAUUAUGUAUUAAAAUAUACAGUAUGCGUCUAAAUAAAAAAACGACAUACAUGCGCGGUUAGCAAAUCAUAAAUUCUUUUAAUAUCAAACAUUUUCACAAUUAACGAAAAAACUACAACGGUCGGUACAAGUAUUUUUAAAGGACGGAUACUUUCACUAUGCAACAGAUAAAGAUAUGAUAAACCCAAUAAACAAAAUAGCUGUUGAAGCAAUGUCGCAUUUUUAUGACGCAUAUUGUAACAUUAUUCAACUAAACAAAUCACUUUUUCUCACCAGUGCCAUAAUAUAUAUCUCAAAGAUUUUUUUGUGCUAAAUACAAUGCCGUUGUCAGACUUUGGGUCAUUUUUUAUAUUAAUUUACUUAAAAUCUCGAUAUGCUACACACAAAUAGAUAAAAAUUGUUGAUAUUUUUGUUGAUUUUGAAUAUUGUUCGUCAAAUCUAUAAUAUAGAUUGUACAGAAAAUCUAAAAGCAUGAGAAAUUUUUUGGAGUAUGUACUGCGGUACUUGGAAGAGAUUGUAGAUGUUGAAAAUGUAAAUGUUACAAAUGUAGACUUGUAUAUUUAUUACAUUAUGUAUCUUCUAAAUGAUUGCAGCUUCCGUUUAAACGCAGGUUUAUAUAUACGAGCUGAAUAUUAUACGGACUACGCUUGACACUAUUUCGAUUUUAUUUAUACUUUUUAAAUUAUUAGCUCAUUACAAAACAAUUUGGAUACAUCUUUAAGUACGUCAAGAUAAAGAUUUGCGUUCACAGGUUACGUAUGAAGAAAGAAUGUAAUGCGAAUGGAAUUGUAUGUAGAAGAUGAUGUAGCGGAAAAAGUCAAUCUAUAUAUUUAUUUUUAUAAAUAAAAAUACACAUGUGUACAAAAA